UACGUAGGGGGCAAGCGUUAUCCGGAUUUACUGGGUGUAAAGGGAGCGUAGACGGCAGUGCAAGUCUGGAGUGAAAGGCGGGGGCUCAACCCCCGGACUGCUCUGGAAACUGUACGGCUGGAGCGCAGGAGAGGUAAGUGGAAUUCCUAGUGUAGCGGUGAAAUGCGUAGAUAUUAGGAGGAACACCGGUGGCGAAGGCGGCUUACUGGACUGUAACUGACGUUGUGGCUCGAAGGCGUGGGGAGCAAACAGG
This 253-nucleotide ribosomal RNA is filed under the name uncultured bacterium. RNAcentral's name for it is "partial 16S ribosomal RNA". It matches the Rfam family "Bacterial small subunit ribosomal RNA", at positions 524 to 776 of the family's 1533-position model. The record is from RNAcentral.